This 497-nucleotide ribosomal RNA is filed under the name uncultured bacterium. RNAcentral's name for it is "partial 16S ribosomal RNA". It matches the Rfam family "Bacterial small subunit ribosomal RNA", at positions 28 to 507 of the family's 1533-position model. The record is from RNAcentral.
GAUGAACGCUGGCGGCGUGCCUAAUACAUGCAAGUCGAGCGAACAGACGAGGAGCUUGCUCCUCUGACGUUAGCGGCGGACGGGUGAGUAACACGUGGAUAACCUACCUAUAAGACUUGGAUAACUUCGGGAAACCGGAGCUAAUACCGGAUAAUAUAUUGAACCGCAUGGUUCAAUAGUGAAAGACGGUUUUGCUGUCACUUAUAGAUGGAUCCGCGCCGCAUUAGCUAGUUGGUAAGGUAACGGCUUACCAAGGCGACGAUGCGUAGCCGACCUGAGAGGGUGAUCGGCCACACUGGAACUGAGACACGGUCCAGACUCCUACGGGAGGCAGCAGUAGGGAAUCUUCCGCAAUGGGCGAAAGCCUGACGGAGCAAAGCCGCGUGAGUGAUGAAGGUCUUCGGAUCGUAAAACUCUGUUAUUAGGGAAGAACAAAUGUGUAAGUAACUAUGCACGUCUUGACGGUACCUAAUCAGAAAGCCACGGCUAACUACGUG